This 66-nucleotide transfer RNA is filed under the name Fusarium pseudograminearum CS3220. RNAcentral's name for it is "tRNA-Ser". Lineage: Eukaryota; Fungi; Ascomycota; Sordariomycetes; Hypocreales; Nectriaceae. RNAcentral also lists the same sequence under 3 other names. The record is from RNAcentral.
AGUUAUAUAUAUAAAGAUUUAAUGGUAUAAGGGGGUUCGAUUCCCCCAAGAUCUUAGAAUUAGCUA